Salvia hispanica is the source of this 1507-nucleotide non-coding RNA. The record is from RefSeq and is a predicted model, not a curated record. Lineage: Eukaryota; Viridiplantae; Streptophyta; Magnoliopsida; Lamiales; Lamiaceae.
UGACGGCGCACGAUAGCUUUCCUCCGCCAUGGAUGCUCCUGAGUCUGAAUCAGCACCAGCGACCUCUUCUCCGAUCACCUCCAUCUCCGCCUCCGCGGUCGAAGAUCCUCUCUCGAGUCCGUACGCCUCUCUGAACUCUCACUGCCACGAUCUCUCCACGCUGCAGGACCUCGCCUGCCGCGGCGCGUGGCGGACGAUCCUAGACAAGGUAGCGCGCUCGCGCUCGCUGUCCCUCCUCUCUCGGCCGCACGAGCAUCUAAUUUACCUCACUUUCAACGUCCUCGCCCUGGUGAAGCUCCGCCGCUUCGCCGACGCGCAGCAGGAGUUCGAAACCCUAGAUGACGAUCUCGGAUCGAAGCAAUACCAAUUCGAGUCGUUUCCGGAUCAGUACCCGAACAACAAGUCCGGAUCUAUGGUCCCGUUCGCGCUCCGUUGGCUGCACGCGCACUUGCCGUUUACGCUAGGUGAUCGCCAAUUAUCUCUCGAUCGCCUUUACGUUCUCCUGCAUUUCAUUCGCGACACGAAAUUGUCGCGCAAUCGCGAUUCGGUUACUGAAAUCUCGAUCGAUCUGUGGAAGAAGCGUGAGACAUUUGUGAUCAAUUCGAUUGUGAGUCACCAUUUGACUCUGAAGGAAUUUAAGGUGUGUCUCUAUUUGUUGAAAUCGGAGACUAGUAAACUUGAGGAUCCGUUCAUGGUGUCGAAAUUAGGUUACGUUCAGAUGCAAUACGGCGAUCUGGAAGGGGCUAAACGGAGCUUUGAAUUGGUUGAGAAAAUGGUGGAGAAGAGUGAGGGUGGGGAUGCGAAUUUGAAUUUGAAUUUGAAGAAUUUGGUAGGUAGGAAUAAGGCAUUGACAUAUUUGGUUGGGAAGGAUUAUGUAUCAGCUGUGAGGGAGUAUGAGGAGUGUAUGGAGAGGGAUGCAUCCGAUUUUGUGGCGAUCAACAACAAAGCUCUUUGUUUGAUGUAUUUGAGGGAUUUGUCGGACUCGAUUAAGGUGCUGGAGAGCGCGCUGGAGAGGGUUCCGACUGUGGCAUUGAAUGAGACGCUUGUUGUGAAUUUGUGUAGUAUGUAUGAGCUGGCUUAUGUGAAUCAUGCCGAUAUAAAGAAGACACUUAGUACUUGGAUUGCGAGAGUGGCUCCCGACGACUUCGAUACCUCGUGUACCAGGAUUUGAGAUGCUAAAACGAGUUACUUCAGUCACAACUCACAAACAUCAUUUGCUUGAAAAUGAUCAAAUUCUGCGUUGCAAUUAAGAUUUCAGGCAAUGUUUGCAAAGGUGCUGCUGGAUAGCAGACCUUGUCCUAGUGCCCAGGCAGGCUGAUUUGGAGAGAGAGAGAGAGAGACUUCAUCCCAAACUUAUAUAUUUCUUGAUUCAAUAAGUUUUCUUUUUUUCCAUGACAUGCUCAAUGAUUCUUGAAGGCAACAAUCUAUCAUUUUAGUUGAGUAAACAAGUGUAAAGUGAAAAAUUCAUGUGACCAUUUUACUUUCUUAAACAUUUUACACGCACAAA